This 93-nucleotide transfer RNA is filed under the name Ixodes scapularis (black-legged tick). It matches the Rfam family "tRNA". Rfam says of the family: Transfer RNA (tRNA) molecules are approximately 80 nucleotides in length. Their secondary structure includes four short double-helical elements and three loops (D, anti-codon, and T loops). The record is from Rfam by way of RNAcentral. Lineage: Eukaryota; Metazoa; Arthropoda; Arachnida; Ixodida; Ixodidae.
CCGUCGAUAGCUCAGUUGGUAGAGCGGUGGGCUGUGUAGAGUUUUUUCGACAUUGAUGUCCAUAGGUCGCUGGUUCGACUCAGGCUCGACGGA